This 234-nucleotide ribosomal RNA is filed under the name uncultured bacterium. RNAcentral describes it as "partial 16S ribosomal RNA". It matches the Rfam family "Bacterial small subunit ribosomal RNA", at positions 100 to 334 of the family's 1533-position model. The record is from RNAcentral.
CGGCACGGGUGAGUAACACGUAUCCAACCUGCCGUCUACUCUUGGACAGCUUCUGAAGGAAGAUUAAUACAAGAUGGCAUCAUGAGUUCACAUGUUCACAUGAUUAAAGGUAUUCCGGUAGACGAUGGGGAUGCGUUCCAUUAGAUAGUAGGCGGGGUAACGGCCCACCUAGUCUUCGAUGGAUAGGGGUUCUGAGAGGAAGGUCCCCCACAUUGGAACUGAGACGCGGUCCAA